UACGGAGGGUGCAAGCGUUAUCCGGAUUCACUGGGUUUAAAGGGUGCGUAGGUGGCGGGGUAAGUCAGGUGUGAAAUCUCGGGGCUCAACCCCGAAACUGCACUUGAUACUGCCUUGCUCGAGUACUGGAGAGGAGAUUGGAAUUUACGGUGUAGCAGUGAAAUGCGUAGAUAUCGUAAGGAAGACCAGCGGCGAAGGCGAAUCUCUGGACAGUUACUGACACUGAGGCACGAAGGCCAGGGGAGCAAACGGG
Molecule: ribosomal RNA, 253 nt
Filed under: uncultured bacterium
Lineage: Bacteria
Description: partial 16S ribosomal RNA
Rfam family: Bacterial small subunit ribosomal RNA
Source: RNAcentral